Molecule: transfer RNA, 81 nt
Filed under: Promethearchaeota archaeon
Lineage: Archaea; Promethearchaeati; Promethearchaeota
Description: Candidatus Lokiarchaeota archaeon tRNA-Gly
Rfam family: tRNA
About the family: Transfer RNA (tRNA) molecules are approximately 80 nucleotides in length. Their secondary structure includes four short double-helical elements and three loops (D, anti-codon, and T loops).
Source: RNAcentral
GGGAGGGUGGUCUAGCUUGGUAUGAUUCUAUAAGGGCUUCCAGCCCGGUAUUGGUCGGGGGUUCGAAUCCCCCCUCUCCCA